Molecule: ribosomal RNA, 350 nt
Filed under: uncultured bacterium
Lineage: Bacteria
Description: bacterial SSU rRNA
Rfam family: Bacterial small subunit ribosomal RNA
Source: RNAcentral
AUGGCUGUCGUCAGCUCGUGUCGUGAGAUGUUGGGUUAAGUCCCGCAACGAGCGCAACCCUUAUCUUUAGUUGCCAGCAUUUAGUUGGGCACUCUAGAGAGACUGCCGGUGACAAACCGGAGGAAGGUGGGGAUGACGUCAAAUCAUCAUGCCCCUUAUGGCCUGGGCUACACACGUGCUACAAUGGUCGGUACAAAGGGUUGCCAAGCCGCAAGGUGGAGCUAAUCCCAAAAAGCCGGUCUCAGUUCGGAUUGGAGUCUGCAACUCGACUCCAUGAAGCUGGAAUCGCUAGUAAUCGCGUAUCAGCAUGACGCGGUGAAUACGUUCCCGGGCCUUGUACACACCGCCCG